Molecule: transfer RNA, 73 nt
Filed under: Capra hircus (goat)
Lineage: Eukaryota; Metazoa; Chordata; Mammalia; Artiodactyla; Bovidae
Also listed under: 1 other name
Rfam family: tRNA
About the family: Transfer RNA (tRNA) molecules are approximately 80 nucleotides in length. Their secondary structure includes four short double-helical elements and three loops (D, anti-codon, and T loops).
Source: Rfam by way of RNAcentral
UCCCUGCUGUUCCAGUGGUUAAGACUCUGCACUCCUGAUGCAGAGGUCAGGGCUUCAAUCCCUGGUCAGGGAA